UGGGGAAUCUUGCACAAUGGGGGAAACCCUGAUGCAGCGACGCCGCGUGAGCGAUGAAGCCCUUCGGGGUGUAAAGCUCUUUCGGCAGGGACGAUAAUGACGGUACCUGAAGAAGAAGCUGCGGCUAACUACGUGCCAGCAGCCGCGGUAAUACGUAGGCAGCGAGCGUUGUUCGGAGUUACUGGGCGUAAAGAGUGCGUAGGCGGUGGCCCAAGUCUGGUGUGAAAUCUCCCGGCUCAACCGGGAGGGUGCGCCGGAAACUGGGUUGCUUGAGUACUGGAGAGGCAGGCGGAAUUCCUGGUGUAGCGGUGAAAUGCGUAGAUAUCAGGAGGAACACCCGUGGUGUAGACGGCCUGCUGGACAGUCACUGACGCUGAGGCACGAAAGCGUGGGGAGCAAACAGGAUUAGAUACCCUGGUAGUCCACGCCCUAAACGAUGCAUACUUGGUGUGGGCAGUUCAGUCUGUCCGUGCCGAAGCUAACGCG
This 486-nucleotide ribosomal RNA is filed under the name uncultured Acidobacteriota bacterium. RNAcentral's name for it is "bacterial SSU rRNA". It matches the Rfam family "Bacterial small subunit ribosomal RNA", at positions 355 to 859 of the family's 1533-position model. The record is from RNAcentral. Lineage: Bacteria; Pseudomonadati; Acidobacteriota.